ACUGGUUUUGAUUUUGGCCUCUGAGAGAUUUCGUGUUCCCUUGAGAGUGGCCAAGGAAAUCAAAUGGCUCUCAGUGACAAUGACAGCAAAGAAUUAAAGAAAAAUGAGUGAAACAUUGCCUGGAGGAAAAUGUAAAGAUCUAGAAUUAGGAUUCAUUAGACUUGAAAACUAUAAUUUUAUGCCACUGACUUGCUUGCUACCCUAAAACCAGCCAGGCUGUUCCAUGAAGAAGUAGAUACUGAAGUGUUGCUGCAAGGGAAGAAUUGUAGCACAGUGAAUGCAAAAGCAACAAACUCUCGAGCUGACUUAGCCACCCCUGAAUCCCAGCCGCAGCACUGCAUGACUGUAUGUGAGUCACGCUGCCUCUCCAAGCUUCAGCUU
Phyllostomus discolor (pale spear-nosed bat) is the source of this 381-nucleotide long non-coding RNA. RefSeq lists it as uncharacterized. The transcript is spliced from 3 exons. The record is from RefSeq and is a predicted model, not a curated record. Lineage: Eukaryota; Metazoa; Chordata; Mammalia; Chiroptera; Phyllostomidae.